AGUGAACGCUGGCGGUAGGCCUAACACAUGCAAGUCGAACGGCAGCACAGUAAGAGCUUGCUCUUACGGGUGGCGAGUGGCGGACGGGUGAGGAAUACAUCGGAAUCUACUUUUUCGUGGGGGAUAACGUAGGGAAACUUACGCUAAUACCGCAUACGACCUACGGGUGAAAGCAGGGGAUCUUCGGACCUUGCGCGAUUGAAUGAGCCGAUGUCGGAUUAGCUAGUUGGCGGGGUAAAGGCCCACCAAGGCGACGAUCCGUAGCUGGUCUGAGAGGAUGAUCAGCCACACUGGAACUGAGACACGAUCCAGACUCCUACGGGAGGCAGCAGUGGGGAAUAUUGGACAAUGGGCGCAAGCCUGAUCCAGCCAUACCGCGUGGGUGAAGAAGGCCUUCGGGUUGUAAAGCCCUUUUGUUGGGAAAGAAAAGCAGCAGGUUAAUACCCCGCUGUUCUGGCGGUACCCAAAGAAUAAGCACCGGCUAACUUCGUG
RNAcentral lists this ribosomal RNA (492 nucleotides) under uncultured bacterium. Its description in RNAcentral is "partial 16S ribosomal RNA". It matches the Rfam family "Bacterial small subunit ribosomal RNA", at positions 29 to 507 of the family's 1533-position model. The record is from RNAcentral.